GCGAAUGUGGCGGAAUUGGUAGACGCGCUGGUUUCAGGUACCAGUGGGUAACACCGUGCCGGUUCGAGUCCGGCCAUUCGCACGA
RNAcentral lists this transfer RNA (85 nucleotides) under Deltaproteobacteria bacterium. RNAcentral describes it as "tRNA-Leu". It matches the Rfam family "tRNA". Rfam says of the family: Transfer RNA (tRNA) molecules are approximately 80 nucleotides in length. Their secondary structure includes four short double-helical elements and three loops (D, anti-codon, and T loops). Further hydrogen bonds mediate the characteristic L-shaped molecular structure. tRNAs have two regions of fundamental functional importance: the anti-codon, which is responsible for specific mRNA codon recognition, and the 3' end, to which the tRNAs corresponding amino acid is attached (by aminoacyl-tRNA synthetases). tRNAs cope with the degeneracy of the genetic code in two manners: having more than one tRNA (with a specific anti-codon) for a particular amino acid; and 'wobble' base-pairing, i.e. permitting non-standard base-pairing at the 3rd anti-codon position. The record is from RNAcentral. Lineage: Bacteria; Pseudomonadati; Myxococcota; Myxococcia.